AAUGGACUGGCCUGCCUGGCAGGCCCUGGCUGACUGUUGCCUGAAGAAGGGUAA
RNAcentral lists this non-coding RNA (54 nucleotides) under unclassified sequences. RNAcentral describes it as "algC RNA". It matches the Rfam family "algC RNA". The record is from RNAcentral.